AUGACGACGCGCACAUCCUCCCUCUCCGAGCUGCAGGCACCCUCCGUGGAUGAGGACGACAACCAAGGCAUCCAUGGUCGACAGCUCGAUGGCUCCUCGGGGAGAACCUACUCGGCGGUCCUGAUGUUGCACUCGGCAGCGGCGCCGGCGGUGGCAUCGUCUUGUUUCAGAUUUACUGAAUAUAUGGUUGCAAAGGUUGAAGAAGAGUAUGUCGAUCCGGAGCCUGAGCAAGCUAUAUUACCACCCCUAGCCAACAAGAUCUCGGGCCCUGCUGGGAGAUCAAAGGCUGGAAGUGCAUGCAAGAGGGCAUGUUAA
This 315-nucleotide ribosomal RNA is filed under the name Triticum aestivum (bread wheat). RNAcentral describes it as "partial small subunit ribosomal RNA". Lineage: Eukaryota; Viridiplantae; Streptophyta; Magnoliopsida; Poales; Poaceae. The record is from RNAcentral.